This is a long non-coding RNA of Ipomoea nil (Japanese morning glory), 358 nucleotides long. RefSeq lists it as uncharacterized. NCBI's taxonomy places the organism in Eukaryota, Viridiplantae, Streptophyta, Magnoliopsida, Solanales, Convolvulaceae. The record is from RefSeq and is a predicted model, not a curated record. The transcript is spliced from 3 exons.
AUACAGAUUCCUUCCCAUGUCUUGAGCGUCUAGUUCUAAGAUGUUGUCAUUAUUUGGAAGAUAUUCCUAGCAGUUUUGGACAAAAUUUGUGCUUGAAGUCGAUUGAGUUGGAUAGGUGUAGCGACCCUUCCAUUGUCGCUUCUGCCAAGGAUAUUCAAGAGAAGCUAAAGAAAAAUUUUGGAAAAGCAAAUUUUAAGAUCAAAAUCCAGGACCCUGAAUAUGAUGAAUCAGGGAACAUAGUAGAGUGUGAUGAAGAUGUUGGGGUUGGAAAAUUUGAGAAAGCUAAUUUUGAGAUCAAAAUCCAGUAGCCUGAAUAUAAUGGUGUUGGUAAAUUCAAGUCGUACAUCCACAAAUUAAA